GGGAAGAUCCCCUGGAGAAGGGCAUGGCAACCCACUCCAGUAUUCUUGCCCGGAGAAUUCCAUGGACAGAGGAGCCUGGUGGGCUACAGUCCACGGGGUCACACAGAGUCAGACAUGACUGAUGCAACUUAGCACACACACACAUGCCUAUAGGUUCUUAGUGAAUAAUAUCUAUGCUUGAUUCAUCCUUUGAAUCCCCUGCAGCCCCAAAACAAUGCCUUAAACUGAGAGUUUGAAUGAAUGAACAACUGCUUUGAAUGAAUGAACGAAAGAUAAAUAUCCAUGUAUUGAAAAGUGUGUCUCUUGGGUGGCCUCUGUAAUCCAGGUAAUGAAGUGGUCCCCAAGUGGCUGAUACCAUAUUGAUACUAGAUGCGUCUAAGACACAGAGUUUCUUAAAGAGUGGUCACAAGGUCACCUGCUUCAGAGUUAGAUGUAUUAAUAUUUGAAAGCAAAUUCAUAGGCCCUACCCCACACCUCUUGAUUCAGCAUCUCUAGGAGUGAGGCCCCAGAGCCUGCAUCUCUUCAGACUCUCCAGAAAUAGACAUCUCUUCAAGAAAAUUAGAAAUACCAAGGGAACUUCUCAUGCAAAGAUGGGCUCAGUAAAGGACAGAAAUGUAUGGACCUAUCAGAAGCGGAAGAUAUUAAGAAGAGGUGGCAAGAAUACACUGAAGAACUAUACAAAAAAAAGAUCUACAUGACCCAGAUAAUCAUGAUGGUGUGAUCACUCACCUAGAGCCAGACAUCCUGGAAUGUGAAGUCAAGUGGGCCUCAGGAAGCAUCACUACAAACAAAGCUAGAGGAGGUGAUAGAAUUCCAGUUGAGCUAUUUCAAAUCCUAAAAGGUGAUGCUGUGAAAGUGCUGCACUCAAUAUGCCAGCAAAUCUGGAAAACUCAGCAGUGGCCACAGGACUGGAAAAGGUCAGUUUUCAUUCCAAUCCCAGAGAAAGGCAAUGCCAAAGAAUGUUCAAACUACCGCACAAUUGCACUCAUCUCACACACUAGCAAAUUAAUGCUCAAAAUUCUCCAAGCCAGGCUAAAACAGUACAUGAACCAUGAACUUCCAGAUGUUCAAGCUGGAUUUAAAAAAAGUAGAGGAACCAGAGAUCAAAUU
Molecule: long non-coding RNA, 1110 nt
Organism: Bos taurus (domestic cattle)
Lineage: Eukaryota; Metazoa; Chordata; Mammalia; Artiodactyla; Bovidae
Source: Ensembl